UGCCUUCAUGUUCCAUCCUGUACACCUGGCUCUGCCUUUUAGAUAACAGUAGCAAAAUUAGUGAAAGUACUAAAAGUCUCUGAUACGCAGAAAUAAUGGCGUAAGCUGUCUCUCUCUCUCCCUGUCUAUCUCUGCCUUGGCUGCCAGGCAGGGAAGGGCCCCCUGUCCAGUGGACACGUGACCCACGUGACCUUACCUGUCAUUGGAGAUGACUCACACUCUUUACCCUGCCCCUUUUGCUUUGUAUCCAAUAAAUAACAGUGCAGCCAGACAUUCGGGGCCUCUACCGGUCUCCGCCUCUUGGUGGUAGUGGUCCCCCAAGCCCAGCUGUCUUUUCUUUUACCUCUUUGUCUUGUGUCUUUAUUUCUACAAUCUCUCGUCUCCGCACAUGGGGAGAAAAACCCACCGACCCUGUGGGGCUGGUCCCUACAGUUGGCCGGGUAUCUUGACUAGAGGAAGAUAGUGUUCUGGGUGGGAGACUCAAGAGGUCUGGUUACUGAAGAUACAGAUCUCACUUAAAGUAAGUAAAUUGACAUCUGGUUUCCAAAUCAAUCUAUUAUGAAAUUGGCCCAUGUCACUUUCAUUUGGCCUGAUCAAGUUUUUACUGAGAACUGAAUUGGGCACAGUGGCUCACACCUGUAAUCCCAGCACCUUAGGAGGCUAAGGCGGGAGGAUCACUUGAGUCCAGGAGUUUGAAAACAGCCUGGGCAACAUAACAAAGUCCCAUCUCCACAAAAAAUACAAACAUUAGCCCAGGAAGCUGAAGCAGGAGGAUCAUUUGAGCCCAGGAGGUCGAGGCAGCAGUGAGCUAUGAUCGUGCCACUGCACUCCAGCCUGGAUGGCAGAGCAAGACCCUGUCUCAAAAAAAAAAAAAAAAAAAAUUUGAGAACAUUGGACAUUCAGUAUCUCUCCCCUCUCUUGGGCAUCAUGUUUAGGUUCUGUCUCUAGAGCACAUCUCAGAGCCUGCUACAGGUAAACAGGCCAGAAGUUAAAUGCAUGAAACAAAUUAAAUGCAUGAAACAUUCAAGCACAUUCUUAUUGGUGUAAUUAAAAUAAAAAAGUAAAUGCAUGAAACAGAAGCUGUUUACCCACAGCAGAGGAGGGGCAGAAAUCAUAUCCAGUGUGCCAUAUCAUUACUGCCUGCCAGCAUUUCCUUAGGCUAUUUCAUUUAUUUACUUUUUUUGAGAUGGAGUCUCGCUCUGACUCCCAGGCUGGAGUGCAGUGGCAUGAUCUCCACUCACUGCAACCUCCACCUCCCAGGUUCAACCAAUUUUCCUGCCUCAGCCUCCCAAGUAGCUGGGAUUACAGGUGCCAGCCACCAUGACUGCCUAAUUUGUGUAUUUUUAGUGAGAGACAGGGUUUCACUACGUUGGCCAGGCUGGUCUCAAACUCCUGACCUCGAGUGAUCCACCCGCCUCGGCUUCCCAAAGUGCUGGGAUUACAGGCGUGAGCCACCAUGCCCACCUUCCUUUGGUUAUUGAGAUGGACAAAGAGUUACCCAGUAAGUUAAGAGCAGCUAGUUUUUAAUGAAUCUUAGCCCAGAAUACAAAGCAGGGUGUAGCAGUUGCCUUAAUGGUGAUAUAAUUGUAAACAAUAGCUUUUUC
Molecule: long non-coding RNA, 1604 nt
Filed under: Homo sapiens (human)
Lineage: Eukaryota; Metazoa; Chordata; Mammalia; Primates; Hominidae
Description: HSALNT0194964
Source: RNAcentral